CUUCCAACAAGAAAGAGAAAUUCAAAAAGAAAAGAAGGUGCAGUGUGAGGAGGCUGCUCCGGGCAGGGCCGCUGUCUGCGCCCCGGCAGCCCCGGGCCAGAGCGGAGGCUGCUGACCGCAGACCUCCCUGGCGGUGGAGCCUCACUGCUGUUGGUUCUGACGGGAACCUGCGCCCUCCCGCCUCCCUCUACAUGCUGGUUCCUGGCUGUCCUGGCCGACCUGGCCAGAGAGCGAAGCAGUUUCCGGUGCCUUGCGACACGCCUCGGGCGCCGCGGCCUUCUCCUUCCUGCCCUGGACAGGCCUUUGGCACCUGCUAGGCAGCAUGGGGACCCGUUUCGUCCGCAGCCACCCCACACGCACCUCACUUACCAAGUUUCCUUACGCAACUCUCCCAACUGGCAUCGGAGUGGCCGCCUCUUCCCCGCCUUCCGGCCCUCCCUGGGGCCGGUUUUCAGCCCGGCCUUCCCUGGGCCUGCGAGGCAGCAUGUGCUCGUUAAGGCCAUAAGGUCAGCUUGGCAAUCAGACCUGUAGAAUGGGAAGGUCUGCGGCCUGCCAUGGUCAGCCGGCCGCAGCGGAGGCAGGUCUGCGUCCCAGAGCAGGAGAGCGGCCUUCCCUCCCUAUUAGUGAGUCAAGUACCAACGCCAGAGGGAAACCUGGGCGGCAAGGGCUCGUCGGUGUGCAGAGAAGGCGGUGAGCCGUUCUGCAUGGGGUCCUCGUGCUGCUGCCACAAACCACCGCCAGCGCGGCUCACACAGCACCAACCCGCGCUCCCGCCCGGUCCGUCCGCGGCCAGGCUGGCGGCUCGGCGCUGACCGGGCGUGGGCAGUGCUGGUCCUCCCGGAGGCUCCGGGCAGAACGCUUCCUACCUUUCCCAGCCGCACAGCGUGUCCUCCCCGCGGCCGCCCGACCACCCGCCUGCACGCGGCUUUCCUGCACGCGGCGGGGCCUUCCCCGCCUGGCCCCUCUCCCAGGGCCCCAUGAUGAACCCUGAAAAUCCCUCAUUUCACCACAUCUGAGCCCCAGGGGUAAUCCCCGUGGGUGCCAGGGACUGAGGGGCGUGUUUAGGCCGGUCCUCAGCUUCCAUGGCUCCCCAGUCCUGCGGCCGCGCUGUGUGCCUCGUGGCCUGCGCAGCAGGCGGGGUCAGCGUGGCCGGGCUGUGGGCACAGCACCCAGGGCUUGGGGCGCCUCCACGGGGCAGGCCAGGGGCGCGUGGCGCUUCCGAGGUCCGCGGGAGAGGGUGCGUUUUGUGUUCAGUGCAGAGGAAAUCCCAGCUGUGGUGGAGGCUUUCUUCCAGCCUUCCUUCCGCUCCCUCCUCCUCGCCCUGGCUGUCAGCGGGACCUUGGGCAGGGAUGGGGAUGCCAAGGGCCCAGGACACCGAGGGCCGCCCACUCCCACCAACCUCCCACAGAACCCGGAGCGGGUGGGAGGGCAGCGGGAAGCGGGUCCCCUUGUGCCACUCUGCCCCGGGGCGCCCAGCCCAGCCCACCCGCUCCUCCAGCCGCAAGCCUUCCCUCCCUGGGCCCACUGUCUCCCCUGAGGGGAUGGGUGUCCUCCUCCCUCAGCCUUGCCCUUGCCCUUCACCUGGGACAGCCAGUGCCGGGGCAUGGCUGCGCUACAGGGCGCAGGCAGCAUGCACGGUGCGGGUGGGAGGGUGGAGAACCCAGUCCUCGGAGGGGAGUCCCGGUGCUCCCGGGGGCACUGUCCACCCCAGCGCUCUGCGCCCAGCUCCCGCUCAGUGCCCCAGGGUAGCGGGGGGGGGACGUGGCUCGCUUUCCAGCCUGGGCCCCGCUGAGAGAGAAGAACCCAGAUCAUGACGACCUCCAUGCACUCCCGCUGCCUUAGUGCCAGUCUUCCUCCUGGCCCAGAGCUGGGGUGCCGCCCCACCGUGAGCCUCCCCCUUCCCCCUCGCCAAGCCGCUCCAUCUCUGUGACAGGAGGCGGCAGAGACCCCUGGGCCGUCCGCGCCCAGAGCCAGCCCUCAGCACCGCCCCUCGCGGAGGCCGCCCGCCUCGCAGAGACACGGAGACUCCCCUGCAGCGCGGUGCCCACCACCCAGUGAGCUGCCCCAGCGCUCCUGCUGGAAACAGCCACAGUAGCUGAGUUGUUAAAUGGCCUUUGGACUCCUGAGAAAGGGGGCUUAUUAAAAAGUGGUCCCUGACCCCCAGCCAGCCCAGGCUGCGCGGGAGGAUCGCCCCUGGCGCUGAGCCCAGGCCCCAGCGCUGCCCUGGGGGCUGGCAGUCGCCGCCCGCUCCCUGGGGCUGAGUCUGGCUCCUGCAGGGAGAGAAGCAAGUGCUGGACGGACUCCCGGGCUGACACACUGAAGGCGUCAGACAGAGACAGCGGCGGCUCCUGCGGCCCAGGCCCCGCGGGGCUCAGACUCGGUUUCCUGCGGGCUCAGCGCGGCCACAGCCACUCGUCACUGCCGGCACCUGAGAGCCCACCUUCCCCAGAGGGACAGGACCGCAACAAAGAUGUACCGUGACGCACCACGAAAGGCGGGCGCACCCGCACCGUGAGGGGGCACUGACAACGGAUCGCGAUGACUGGCUCCGGCGUCUCGGUUCAGAGCCUCUGGCGGCCCGGGCCCACUUCCAGGGCCGGCUGCACACCACCCCGCCCCCUCCUUUUAGUGUCUACAUCCCAGCAACUCAGGGCAUCUGCUUCUCGGAGCCUGCGAGUCCGGCAGGUGGCAGACGGGCUCUACCCGACCCCGGUCCAUGCCUCUCCCGCUCACCCACCCUAGCUCUGCCUCAGAGAUGAGGACCCCGACGCCCUCCUGGACACUAGUCAGUGACAAAGUGACUAAAAGGUCACUGCUGGGCUCCCACAGGCAGGCGUGCCCAGCCGCCGCCUCCUCGCCUGUCCCCGAGGGGUCAGUCCUGGGAAGGGCACUGAGGAACCCCAGUCCCAGCCUGUCCCGUAGCCCUGCUGCGCUGGGGGGUGUGCUGGCUUCUCUAGGAUCCAGCCAGCGGGGUUGGUCCUCUGUGGGUCUGAGCCCCGAGCUGGGAGCUGGGCUCCGCAGGGCAGGGAAGCAGAGGAGCCCGCCAAGCCCCGCCUCCCCCCCCCCCAACAAGACAAGCUGUUGGUCAAGCUUUGGGGGCAUCUUUGGCCAAAGGUGAGUGGAGCUAAGAGAACACAUCGCUGGCGCUCAUUAGACCAUCGUGUGCUUUGCUCUCGUGGAGGGUCACAGCUCCGCAGACCGUGGGCAGGACGAGGCCGCGUGUGCUUUGCUCUCGUGGAGGGUCACAGCUCCGCAGACCGUGGGCAGGACGAGGCCGAGACUGGCACUGGUCCCCCGUGAGGAGCUGCCUGGGGGUGCAGCCCCUCCCACAGCACCCGCGCCUGCUGUGUGACAACAGUUCCGAAGAAGCAGAUGGAGAAAAGCACUUCCAAACCCAGCAGGUGCCCCUGGGGCUGCCCGGUCCCCGCAGCUGUGCGGCCGGCGGUGCGGAGGGCUCGCCUCUCCGUGGAGCUGUCCUGGGCCCAGGCCCGCGUGGGCUCCCAGCAGCUUCAGAGCCGCAGCGUGGAUUCUGCCGCUGAGAGACGAGGCCGCGGUGCUGGCUGCUCUCCUCGCAGCCACUCACCGCCAGUCAGUGCCCGGCUCCAUCAUGCACUGGGUCCCCGGGACUAAGCCCUCAUCCCGCCGCCCUGCGCCUUCAGUGCUGUAUGUGCUGGCAGCCCCUUCUCAGCGAGGGACGCUGAGGUGAGCAGACAUCGAGGAAGCUGUCGAAGGAGCACAGGGCUCUCCGCGUGUCUCCUUCCCCGCAACCAAAAAGCAGGCAAGCUGGGCCCCAGCUGCUGCCUCACAAUGUGGCCUGAGCUGGGACUCAGGCCUUCGCAGGGAAAAUCAGUUACAGUGAGGCCGCUAGGGUGGGCCUGGUGCGAUGUCCAGAGGAGCGGUCUGGACCAAGACAGCAGGAGGGGAGGCGCUGUGAGAGGAGAGGCUGCUGCAGCCCCGGCUCCGAGGGUGCUGGACACCCAGAGGCGGGAAGGCCGCAGGGUCCUGCGCUGGAGCGGUCCGGGGGGGCUGACCCCGCCAUCGGGGACAUCAGCCUCCAGCGCUGAGACACAAUAAGCCGCACAGAGAGUUGGGGUCAGAGCUAAGUCUCUGGUGCGGAGCCCGGGCUCCUCACCCCACUGCACAGGUGGCAGGGGGGACAGUGCAGCUCAGCACCAGCACCCGGGCAGCUCGCGGUCCUGGGGGUGGAGGUGGUUAGCUGAGAACUCCACAAAGAUGGAAUAGGCUCCAUUUACCAGCUCCUAUUAAAUAUUCCGAGAAUCCUGGCCGGUGUGGCUCAGUGGGUAGAGCAUCAUCCCGUGCACCAGGAGGUUGCCCAUUCGAUUCCUUGUCAGGGCACACGCCCGUGUCACAGGCUGGAUCACUGGUAGGGGGCGGCCAGGAGGCAGCCAAUCAAUGAUUCUCUCUCAUCAUUGAUGUUUCUAUCCCUCUCUGCCUCUUCCUUCCUCUCUCUCUAAAAAUCAAUAAAAAAUCUUUUAAAAAAAUA
Molecule: long non-coding RNA, 4504 nt
Organism: Myotis myotis
Lineage: Eukaryota; Metazoa; Chordata; Mammalia; Chiroptera; Vespertilionidae
Exons: 2
Source: RefSeq, a predicted model, not a curated record